CCCGAGUCGGGUUGAGUCAACAAAUCGAAAACGUCAUUAAUCACAUAAUCGUCAGUGAGAUGUCACGUGACUACGCUCGACGCUGGUUCAGCGUCCAAUGAAUUUGCGUCUUUACGUAUGCAAUACAUACUUAUCAAGGUUCAUUUUUCGAUACAGUACAUAAGGCAAAGUUAUCAGUCUAAUAAUGCAUAGAAGUCUAUGAUUGCAGAAGUACGUGGAAAAGAAAUUCUGGGAUCAAAUUUUAUAGGCAAG
Long non-coding RNA from Dinoponera quadriceps, 252 nucleotides. RefSeq lists it as uncharacterized. The record is from RefSeq and is a predicted model, not a curated record. Lineage: Eukaryota; Metazoa; Arthropoda; Insecta; Hymenoptera; Formicidae. The transcript has 3 exons.